UACGGGGGGGGCUAGCGUUGUUCGGAAUUACUGGGCGUAAAGCGCGCGUAGGCGGGUGGGCAAGUCAAGGGUGAAAUCCCGAGGCUCAACCGUGGAACUGCUGCCGAUACUGCAUGUCUCGAGUCCGGGAGAGGUGAGUGGAAUUCCUAGUGUAGAGGUGAAAUUCGUAGAUAUUGGGAAGAACACCAGUGGCGAAGGCGGCUCACUGGUCCGGUACUGACGCUGAGGCGCGAAAGCGAGGGGAGCAAACAGG
Molecule: ribosomal RNA, 253 nt
Filed under: uncultured bacterium
Lineage: Bacteria
Description: partial 16S ribosomal RNA
Rfam family: Bacterial small subunit ribosomal RNA
Source: RNAcentral